CACCUGUUGUGAUUGCAGGUACUGUCACUCAGUGCUGAUCACUGAGCAACUUCACCUGCAGUGGAUAGCAGCUGAGCUGUUUUCUUUUGGGAGCCUGCAGGGAAACUAUGAGACCUGCAGAAAAAGCCUCACCAAAACUGACACCUUCCUGAAAAACCUCUGACUAGUGAAGCAGCCUGUUUCCUGUAUGAUAAAUGAAUAGUAUGUCCUAACCAGCCCUAAUGCGCAGGAUAUGGCUGGAUGACUGAGAGAGAAAACUAGAACAGCACUGCUCGCUCCUACUUACUCAAGGCCAUCCUGACAGUGAUGUGUGCCUUCUUGAAAGUGCGGUUUGAUGGACCCAUGGUCUGUAGGCAGUACAACCUUUAAUAUUUCAUUUACU
This is a long non-coding RNA of Gallus gallus (chicken), 382 nucleotides long. NCBI's taxonomy places the organism in Eukaryota, Metazoa, Chordata, Aves, Galliformes, Phasianidae. The record is from Ensembl.